RNAcentral lists this unclassified non-coding RNA (2876 nucleotides) under Leishmania donovani. RNAcentral describes it as "gene:unknown". The record is from RNAcentral. Lineage: Eukaryota; Euglenozoa; Kinetoplastea; Trypanosomatida; Trypanosomatidae.
CAUGUUGAAAAAGGUGUGCUCUGACGACGUGGAGGGCCACUCCUGACGAUUCGCGGCGCUCAUGUAGCUCGCCGCCCACCUACGCAACCCAUUUUUAUAUUCCGCCGGUCGCGGUGGGGGUGGGCAUGUGCAGAGCUCCUGUGCUUCUGUACGGGUAUUGCUUUUGGUGUUCACCUAGCUGGCUGUCUUUCGUGAUGAUGAUGGUGGGAGGCUUUGUGGUUUCUCCUUUGCGUUGCUGAGUGUAUCAUCUUCCCAUUUUUGCCGUGUAGUGAUCGUUGCUUCGCUCCUUGACACCCCCCUCCCUACCCCCUCCCAAUCCGAACGCCGUCAUCCAUGCCACGUUUCUUUGGUGUUGUUGUCUUUAUGGUUCCUUUUCCGUUCUCAUGCCGCUGCUUGCUUCUUGUUUUUCUCUCUCUUGCUCGCGCACUCACUCGCUGCCUUGCUGGCUUCAUUUUUCUUUGUUGGUGUGUUUCUCUUGUACGUGCGGGCGUGUGUGGGCUCUCAAAACGUUCGCGCAUCGGUCGGCGAUGGCGGCUGUGGUCGCUGCCGCCCUUUCGAAGACGGGAAUUUCGCUUCGCGUGUUUCUUCAUUUUUUCGUUGUCUCGUUCGCCUGCUUGUUUCUUCUCUCCCUUCUUUUUGCACUCGCAUGCUUGCACUCCUGCACGCAGCCAUUCAAGGAGGCACUUUUUGUGCCAGUGAGAGGCAGUCCCAACGCGAGGGGCCGCAUCACCACCUCCUCGACCUUGCGGUCCUUCUCUUCCCGUUCCUCCGUGCCGUGCCAAGAAACGUUACCCCUGCAUACGCACACAGACGAUAGACCCCCACCCACAAAAAAAGCGACCCAGUCCCAGCGUCUGUGGACGUAGAUAGAGGGACGCCAUGCACUUGUGCUUGUCGUCGCGUGCAUGUGCGCAUGAUUCUGUGCGGCUGCAUUUGUGCGUGUAAAUGGACGCUUAUUCCUUUCCUUCUUCGUCUUGCCCUCACCCCUUUUUUUUUGGUUUUGUGAUUGGAGUCUCUUUUGUUUCUCUUCAUUUUUUUCCGGCUCAGUUCUCUCUUCCUUGUAUUACUCCCCUUCCCUCCCAGGCCCUGCACACACCACCUCGCUCGCUGCGUGUUUCUGUGGACGCGUGCGCCCGCCUCUUCCCUGCUGCCUCUUCUCCUCGUACUUUCUCGUUUCUCUUGCUUGUGUCCUCUUGAGUGAAGCGCGGCGUCCGCUCUGUUUUCUUUGUUGUUUGCCGUUUGGUUCUUUCAGUCUUUGUGUCUUGGUGCUUCAGCGUUCGCUGCGCACUCUUUUCCGCUCGGCACACGCAGCACGUCUGCUGCUGCUGCUGUUCCUGCCGCCAUACCAGUGCGCUCACGCGUAGCCUUUCUCGCCCUUCUUUUUUUGUCGUUGCGCACACGUAGACAUACACAUACACACACACACACACACACACACACACACACACACGUAAUGACCGCCUAUAGGCGUCACGUUUUUUUUUUUCCGUUGUGUGUGUGUGUGUGUCUCUCCGUGUAUGCGCAUGCACGUGCCGCAGUUGGAGGUGCUUGCUCGCCCCUGUAUGCACGUGUGGUCGAUCUUGUCCCCUUUCGCCUUAUUUCUUCUCGCAGGCCUCUUCAUGGACGUCACAGACGAAGAGAGCCAAGAGGGGAAGGGGAGGGCCGGACACGAGGAGGGUCGAGUGAGAAGAACACGCACCCCAUUGAGCCUCGGUGAUUUCGUUUUGGUGUGCACUCUCCCAUUCUGCAUUCUUCCCUUUUUCCUUGUGAGGUGGUGUGCAGGCGCGAGCGCCGGAGUGUCUGCUUGGCAUUUUCAAGCGUGUCUGAGCAACUCCUUCAUCUCUCCGAGUUGUUCGUUUUUCGUUUUCUUUCGGCUCGUUAGUCUCUGGGUUUUUGUCAUUCUUCCAUUGAACCUCAAAUCUUUUCAUCUCAACCUAGCUAGAGGCGCGUUUCUCUCUUUUUCUCCGCUUCUCUGCCGUUCUUCUCCCUCCUCUGCUCGACUCGCGACGCGUUGUGCACACGAUGCGCUAUCGCCGUAGCGGCGCGGAGGGAGGCGGAGGAUUAUGAGGAUAUACGCAACAUAAGAGAAGGUGAGGCAUACAGUUGUGGAGGGAGGGAGGGGGGGGCAGGGAUAAGGGAGUGGAGAAGUGCGGACGGAGAACAUAGCAGAGGAGAGGAGAGAGAGAGCAGCCUCGCCACUCACCCACACAAACACACCUGCACACAUUCAAGGGCGAUGAUGAUGAUGCGUGACUGUGUGUCUGCCCUCCUCUCUCUUUUUCUGUGAGUUUACCUCUCGCAUACGCUCCGACGAAAGGGACAAGGGGAAGGAGACGUCCACGGCGGUUUCGUGGUCGCGCCUUUCUCUCGCGGGUGUCUCCGCCACCUCCUCUCUGUUCUCUCUCCCUCUCCUACACGGCCUCUCUGUAGGCUUUGGGUUUGUUUCGCCCACAUGCCUGUUACGCUUUACCUUCGCUCCUGUACGGCAUCCUUUCUUGCCGCCCGUCUCUGACGGGGUCUCCGAUUCAGCUAGCCCUCGUCUUGCUCUCGCUGCACCGGUACGCUGCGCAUCACGGUGUCACCCUCCAAUCCUUGCGUUUUCGUUUCCUUCGGCAUCUUCGCUUGGACUUUGUCUGCCACGCGCGGACACCGAAGACACAAGUGUGUCCUCGUCUAGAGCGUGAGCAGCGUGUGUGCUUCUCUCGCGGUAAGUCUUAUGUGUCGGUGCACCGCAGAGAAGUGGCGGAGCCCAUGCGUCUGCACGGGGGGGCGUCAAGUAAAAUAGAGUAAUGCCAACCACCUUAAUGAAACACGACAAGAAAAACGAAGGAUGUACGAAGGGGCAAAGCAACAGCUGCGCGACCGGCACGCAUGCG